RNAcentral lists this ribosomal RNA (327 nucleotides) under uncultured eukaryote. RNAcentral's name for it is "partial 18S ribosomal RNA". It matches the Rfam family "Eukaryotic small subunit ribosomal RNA", at positions 1470 to 1796 of the family's 1831-position model. The record is from RNAcentral.
CCCUUAGAUGUUCUGGGCCGCACGCGCGCUACACUGGUGCGUUCAACAAGUUUACAACCUUGAUUGACAAGUCUGGGUAAUCUUUUGAAUGCGCACCGUGCUAGGGAUAGAUUAUUGCAAUUAUUAAUCUUGAACGAGGAAUUCCUAGUAAACGCAAGUCAUCAGCUUGCAUUGAUUACGUCCCUGCCCUUUGUACACACCGCCCGUCGCUACUACCGACUGGUAAGAUAUCUAAGGAGCAUGGACGUCGGCAGACGCGGUUCACGCCGUGUCUGCGGGCAGAAGCGCCCCGCAGAUUUCUUGCUGGAGGAAGUAAAAGUCGUAACA